UCUGACUGCACGAUGAGAGAGAGCAGAGCCCUGGAGAGAGAAGGGGGAGCGGGAGCGCGCAGCGAGGCUGCAGCCCUGGGAACGGCAUCGGCAUCGCCACGGCCAUCGCUCAUCGCUGCCGAGGGAGGAGGGAGCGCGAGAAGAUAAUGAGGCAGUUUUGUGGGUGUUUACAAGGAUCAUGAUAAUGCUUGGUGACAGCGGCAGAGCAGAGAAAUGACACAUUAAGGCCACCUGCCUGGGUUGCACUUCACACCUUUGUCCUGGGGACACCGAGUGACUGGAUCGGGCGGUGGGUGAGACAAGCAGAUGUGAUGUAUCUUACCUCUCCACCUUUUAUGCAUUAGCUGGGUAUAAAUUGGCCCUGCAGCACUCUCGCAAGACACCUUCUGAUACCAUCUUUUAACUUGAGGAAAUAAAAUCUGAGAUCUGAUGUCUUUGCUGCUGUGUUGCCCUUAUACAUUACCUUUCCUCCUGAUUUAUACCCGGUGCACAGCUCAGGCUGAAGCCAGAAGGACUUUCUCCUAGCUCAGCACUGUGCAAAUGGGCACCCGCUCCUUUCCUGCUGCCUUCCCCACACACGGAUGGUUGAAAGGAAAGGACAAGCAACGCAAAAACUUUCCGUGUGACUAAAACUGUAAGAUUUAACAGCAUAAGUGAGUCCAUGAGCACUGGUUCAGUGUUAAGUUCUUAGGUAAACUGCUGCUGUCUGUUUAGAGGAAGCCUUUGCUGGGGUGUAGGAGUGGGAUGCUAAUCACCGCAGCAUAUUACCGUGACCCUAAGUGGAGCAGAACAGGUGCUCAGAUGUCGGUUCAACUUCUUCCCAAACUACUUCUGAAGCAGUAAAACCAAUUCAGCUCGAUGUCUGGAAUUAAAAUCAAGCCUUCAUUGGAUUCAUGUUCAAGGACUGAGAGUCGCUAACUAACCCUUCUGUGUCUAAAUUGCUUCUUCAACAAAGGCUCAUCGUUUAAUUGUGAACUAUAGCAAUAGCACGUAAAAAGGAUUUGCAAUUUGGGAGCGUUUGUGGAUCUCAACCAACUUUGCGGGCUAAGUAAAGUGUGAGAAACAUUUUUUACCAUGCUAUUCUAUCAACUGAGCUUUUAAGGCAGCCUGAUGAAAAUGAAUUUAUUACUUUAAUAGCAUUUUCUCUCUGGAAAAAAAGGUCUUGCUAACUUAUUGAAGCAGAGCUUGAAAUAACAGACAAAAACUGUCAGCAAAGCUGUGAUGUAGUCUGGAACUAAGUGAAAAUUGUGACCAAAAUCCGAGCCUACCCAAGCCCUGAGUUAAAUGCCAAAAUGCCCCAGGAUUCCUCGGAUCAUCAUGCAAGCUGUUAAGGAUAACAAGCAGCUUAUUUGUUUGACGUUCUCCUCCCUGCCCCCCCCUCCUUUUUUUUUCCUCCUUUUUUUUUUUUUUGUUGUUGUUCCUUUUGUGCUAAGUUUUUUAUUUUGGGAGGAUUAGGUACCUGGCAGGAGGAGGGUACAACCUUUCGGGAAGACCCAGCAGGAUUUCAGAUUUUCUGUGGUCUUGAAAAAAUUGUUGUGGUUAAAUAAAAGCAAAGCUUAGGAAAAAAAAAAAAGGCAUCGGUAAUGUGCAUAGUACAAAGCCUCUGUAUAGCAUUUAAAUGCAAUUUUUACCUUUACAGAAAGGACACGGUGAUUGGAAGGGCUAUGGAGAGCUGUGUGGAUUUCAUCCACGCAAUGCGUGGGUCCAACCUUGGGAAAUAAACCCCAUUUGCCAUGUUCUUUGAGGCCAUUUGCAGCUUUUCUUCCCCAAGGAGGGACGCGGUCUGUUGCCGAUAAAUAAAGUGGAAAUUUUGACACCAAAGGGAGCUAAACUGAGCUCCAUGAAAAGGGAGUGCUAGCAUGCAGUGCUCCUUUUCUUUUUUCUUAUUAAUGCAACUAAUUAAAUGUUUGUAUUUUUUAAGCACUAACUGGUUUUUGAUGGUUGUUUAGAGACUUUGAGAAAGUCAAUAAUUUUGAUGAAAUAAGACUGUAGGCUCCAGAACAAAGUCCACAAGGAAUCCGUGAUGUUGCUAGGAUACAGCCAUUAGUAUUUUCAGCGGCUGGGAUAUUUUUUGGUGGGUU
Molecule: long non-coding RNA, 2081 nt
Organism: Cygnus atratus (black swan)
Lineage: Eukaryota; Metazoa; Chordata; Aves; Anseriformes; Anatidae
Exons: 3
Source: RefSeq, a predicted model, not a curated record